This 497-nucleotide ribosomal RNA is filed under the name uncultured bacterium. Its description in RNAcentral is "partial 16S ribosomal RNA". It matches the Rfam family "Bacterial small subunit ribosomal RNA", at positions 28 to 507 of the family's 1533-position model. The record is from RNAcentral.
GAUGAACGCUGGCGGCGUGCCUAAUACAUGCAAGUCGAGCGAACAGACGAGGAGCUUGCUCCUCUGACGUUAGCGGCGGACGGGUGAGUAACACGUGGAUAACCUACCUAUAAGACUGGGAUAACUUCGGGAAACCGGAGCUAAUACCGGAUAAUAUAUUGAACCGCAUGGUUCAAUAGUGAAAGACGGUUUUGCUGUCACUUAUAGAUGGAUCCGCGCCGCAUUAGCUAGUUGGUAAGGUAACGGCUUACCAAGGCAACGAUGCGUAGCCGACCUGAGAGGGUGAUCGGCCACACUGGAACUGAGACACGGUCCAGACUCCUACGGGAGGCAGCAGUAGGGAAUCUUCCGCAAUGGGCGAAAGCGUGACGGAGCAACGCCGCGUGAGUGAUGAAGGUCUUCGGAUCGUAAAACUCUGUUAUUAGGGAAGAACAAAUGUGUAAGUAACUAUGCACGUAUUGACGGUACCUAAUCAGAAAGCCACGGCUAACUACGUG